Molecule: long non-coding RNA, 2549 nt
Filed under: Prunus persica (peach)
Lineage: Eukaryota; Viridiplantae; Streptophyta; Magnoliopsida; Rosales; Rosaceae
Description: long non-coding RNA (PPER_LNC000007)
Source: RNAcentral
CCACACUUGGAACCGAUCUCCACCGUUGGUACCAAACGAACCAGCACUCGACCGCCGACGUUUCUUGACCCUUCGCCGGAGUUUCCGUGGCCGGAACUCGCCGGAAAACUCCAUUUUCGCCGGAUUUCCAGUUUGAACUUUGAGCUCGAUUUUCUCCUUCAAUUCUCCACCAAAUCGAUCGAGUAAGGUAUGGUUUCUCAGCUAUUUUUCGUGUUCUAGCUAAUGGAUGUAUGGGUUUCGAUCGAUUUUAGCUCUAAAGGGUUCGAUUUUCGACUUGAAAAUUGGCCGAAACUUCGGCCGCCGUAAUCUACUGUUUUCGAUCACUUUUUGGGGUAUGUCUAAGAACAAAAGUGACUCCAAAUGGGGUGUUUUACCUAGGAUAAGACUUUGGAGUCUUGGUUCCGAGAUUUUUCGGCCACUCGGUAUCGCUUUAGACAAUCGAAUCUGCCCGCGCGUGCUGGGGUGCGUGGGCGAGGGUGGUGGAGUAACUCUGGGCAGUUUUGAGAUCCUCGUGUCAUGACGAGCGCGUAGGAUUUCGCGGAUCUCGAUUCGGAGUCCGUUUGAGCCCCGAACGGAUUUUCCAUAUCGCGCAAUCCUUGGGUGCAGUGUCGUCAAAUCGUCGGAUCGCGCUGAAUUUCAGAUAUGUCGGUCUACAUGAUUUCAGGAUCGUGUAGGAUUCAACGGAUUGCGAAUCGCAGUCCUGGAUACUCCGAAAUCGCGAACCCUGGGGCUAGGGUUUGGAUUUUAAGCGAUAACGCGAUUUUGGCUAAUCCGACCGUCCGUUUCGGACCAAACUCGCAGAACAUGGUUCCUUCUCUGUAAGGAACCUUCAGAGGAGCCCAGAUUGGCCAUCGGAGACCGUGGACCCACGGGGUCCGGGAUCGGCCGAUCUGGCAGUAUAUCGCUUAGUAAGGCUUCGGGUCUCUUAAGGUCGUUCUAACUGUCUAAAAAGCUAAUGUGGGCAUAAGAGUAACUUUAAAAUGAGUGCACGUAUUUCCAGGAACCGGGGGCAGGGUGUUUAAUUUGAUUCUUUUUAUUCAGCAGUUUAUUGAUUUAUUAUUCAUGGAUAAUCAGGCACUAGAGGUCCAGUCGACCUGCAGGAAGGACCUUCGAAGGGUCCAAUUAGCUCGGACCAUCAGUGAGUGGACUUUCUUUCAUAACGAUUUUAUAUGCAUGAGUUAUAUCUUAAACGAUUUUAUAUGCAUGAAUUAUAUAAAUGAGAUUAUUUAAUUGAUUUUUUUUAUAAUGAGUUUAUACAAAUAAGCUUUUACAAAUUAGUUUAUAUGGGUUAAUGUCAUUAUUUGAUCUUGAAGAAGUUUUAUGAACUAUUCAUUUCGAACGUGAUCUGUGCUGUACAAUACUUUGAUUUACGUGUUGUUCAGUUAUUGAAGCUCAGUAAUAUAAAAAGCAGAGUUUGAGAAUUCUAUCAGAGGAGACAGCAGUUAAAUUUCAGUUUCACAAAAAGGCAGUGAGUUAUUAGAUUUUUCUAAAAAUAGUUUAUUUUAGAACCACCAUGUACCCACCCUUUACUUGGUGAUUACCCAGAGUUGGACCGAUGUCUACGGACAUCCAGUCCGAUUUCAGUUUAUGUCAGUGCACUUGACUUUGCCUCACGAGUUUCGGGGACGCUCGGACCGUGAGUGCCAGGAUUUGCGGCUCGGCAGACUUGGUGUCCCGAGACCUGCCAGGAUUGCGGCUCGGCUGACUCUGUGUCCCCGAGACCUGCCAGGAUUGCGGAUCAGGCUGACUACGGUCCCUGCAUCCUGCCAGAGCGACGCGAGCUGACUUGGUGUCAUCGAGGAAUCUGCCGGCGGAUCAGGCUGAUCAUAGUCCCCUGAUUUCGCCAGUUUGCGGCUCGGGUAGACUGCGUGGCGCCCGAGACCUGCCAGGGGAAUUGACGGAUAUGACAGGGGUACAAAUAGGUGGUAUUUUCAAAGGAUUUUGAGUUUUCUUUUAUUCGAUUAUGACUUUCAGUUAUUUUAUAUCAGUUUCUUUGAUAUUCAUGCAUUUAUAUCUUUACAUAUUUGUUCAGUUAUACGAGCACAUUCAUCAGUAGGUUUUUACAUGCUUAUUUGAAUACCUUGUAUUGAAAUAUAGACAAACCCUCGAGUUAAAUCCUUGCUUAUUUUUAAAUGGGGGUUACUAUGUUUAUAAAAUUUAUUUUCAAGAACUUAAUUUUUGUCCACUCACAUUUUCAACCUGUUUUUCGCCCCCAGGCCGUAGAAGUGCGCAGGAUCCACCACCGGGCCAUCUCUAGCUUCCGCGCCAUCAAGUAUUGAGUUUUGUGGAAAAGUUCUUGAAACUCUGUGAACUUUAGAAAAUGCUCUGAUAUCUAGUUUUAGUGGAAAACUGGAGUUGGUGAAUACUUGGUUAUUCUAUUCUGGUAGUUGGUGUGGAUUUAUUUGAUUGUUUAACAGGUGAAAAAAAGUUGGGUUUGGUCAAAAUACAGGGGAGACUCUGCCGAAUUUUCGGCAGAAGUCUAAGGGAAAAUUUAAAAAGAAUUUGAAACAAGAAGGGUAAAAAGGUCCUUUGUGCUAGACAUUCGUCAG